UUUCACAGGCGAAAACAAAGGCCAGAAGAAUGUUUUCUUUAUCUCCCAACUUUGGCUGUUUGAACUGAAAUGGACCAGCGAAGACCCAGAGGGAGACAAAAAGAAAAGCGAAGGCGAAAGACGGACGACUGACCAGAAAGCCUCACCACCUAACCCGUGAGUGUGACCCGGAAGUGAAUUCGGAAUUGAUUGACAUGUAGUUCUUUCAAAUCAGAGCCUGGAUGCCAUAGCAACAGUACAGGAAGUCCCGGCGGUUUUAAAGUCGCGGUUCCGGUAUUCAGAACGCAAAGGACGAUGGGAAGCGUGAAUUUGUCUGUCUAGCUUUAGGCAAUUCGAUUCACUCUUCCAUGCUGCCGAGAUACCCCCGACAUCGCCCGCUCCACCAGGAUGGACCGCGGUGGCUUCCUUUGCUGGAAACAUCUGACUCCAUAAUGUGCCAGACCGUGGAGACCUGAGACACAUCGACUCGCUUCUCAGGUUUUGAGAUGCACAAUGAUGAGAAAUAAAAAUGAAAAGAUUUCCAGAAAGAAGCCAUCAGAUUCAAGGUUUCACAGUCCAAGCUAAUGUCCACGGAAAUGAUCUGAGAAAAUUGCAGUCCUGGCAAAAGAAGUGUAACUAGACUAAGGCAAGGUGGAGCAUGGAGGACUACUGGAUUAGAUGGAGAGAAUGUCCAGGCAACUCCAUGGCCCUACUGAUGUUCCAGAACUUCAUCAACUCAGUGAUAAGCUGCAUGUACACCUAGAGAAGCUGCCACGUACUCCUGCCGUGAUGUAUUAUGCCACUGCAGACACAAGCAGUGGGGUCAACUGACCAUGAACUGAAGGGGAAAGAAAGUCAAUCCUUCCUCUUACGCUGAUGGAGCUGUUUUGUCACAGUGACAACUGAAUUAACACACAAGGUCCGUCAUAGGAAUUCAACAGCAGCAGAACAGGGUGUCUCAGAAAUAGUCUCGGCUACGUUUUCUCACUGCCUCAGGCUCACUUCCUGGGAAAAUGGGAAUAUGAGCAUGUCCUGCUCAAACCAGUGGAAGGCAGACCUUCACUUGAAACUUUUUUAUCUGGUCUGUGACUCAGAUGAUAACUUUAUAGAUGUUUUGCUCUACUAUUGCUCCUGAUGUGAAGAAAUUUCAAGGAACCCUUGUUGUAACCUGGAUGUAUUUGCAGCUUGAUUUGCUGUUUGGGCAAUUCCUGCAAGUUAACUGUGUUAACUUCUUUCUCUCUUUCCAGAGCUUGGGCUCAAGCUCUGUGUCUCACAUCUGCCAGCAGGCAUUCUACUACUGCACUGAGCCACUUCCCUCGCCCAUGCUUAGUCUUGAAUAGCCACAAAAUAGUCCAUGGUAUGGCUAAAGAAACCUCCAUUUAAUUUAGAUAUUUUUGGCAUUUAAAUUAUUUGAUGUAGUUGAAUAUAUGAUUUUUUUUUCCUAAAGGAAUUCUAUGUGUCUCAACGUAAGACUCUUCAACCUUUAUGUUAUGCAUAAUUUCCUGUAGUUUUCAAAGUUGUUUUAA
Molecule: long non-coding RNA, 1505 nt
Organism: Onychomys torridus (southern grasshopper mouse)
Lineage: Eukaryota; Metazoa; Chordata; Mammalia; Rodentia; Cricetidae
Exons: 5
Source: RefSeq, a predicted model, not a curated record